UCUAGCUGUAUGGACUGGGGCAUUAUCAUCUUGAGGUGAAGGUGUUUCCAUUAUUUUGUCCAACUCCUGUAUAUAUCUAUGUUCUGUUUAGUGUGUGUUCUCCCCCCGUCCUGUAGGUGUGCUGUGCUCCUUUUGUGUCUGUUUGUUUGCAGGUGCUGAUUGGUGGAGCAUGAUUGCCCCGCCCUUUAAAAAUGGCCCUGGAGCUUCCGUCCUCGCUCUCUCUUGCCUUCUGCCAGCUCCCAACCCUGUGUUCGUAGUGUUUCAACGUGCCACUUGUGAAUGGCUGAUGUGUUAUCCACAAUGAAGAAACAUCCCAGGCCUGUUUUAUCAGAUUACCUCCUGAGUGUGACGGCGCUGCUAACAUGUGAUUUGGCUCAGCUGUAAUCGGCAGAUGCACUAAUGGAGGCUGAGGUUAUCCAUCACACGUGCUCGUCUGGUCGGACCCGGAGCUCAUACGUCAACGCCAGACUCGGGGAGGGGUUCCCAUCUGUGCCCCUCUCUGCCGGCAUCUCAACGAUGACAAAUGUGCCACCUGCAGUGGAAAUAUUGAG
RNAcentral lists this long non-coding RNA (551 nucleotides) under Sphaeramia orbicularis (orbiculate cardinalfish). Its description in RNAcentral is "lncRNA (ENSSORG00005023382.1)". Lineage: Eukaryota; Metazoa; Chordata; Actinopteri; Kurtiformes; Apogonidae. The record is from RNAcentral.